AUCAUUAAACACACAGCCGCCAACAGUGCAAUGUGUCCUCACUAGCAUUCACACGCAAGCACAAAAACACACACACACACACACACACACACACACACACACACACACACACACACACACACACACACACACACACACACACA
Alosa sapidissima (American shad) is the source of this 143-nucleotide long non-coding RNA. RefSeq lists it as uncharacterized. The transcript has 2 exons. The record is from RefSeq and is a predicted model, not a curated record. NCBI's taxonomy places the organism in Eukaryota, Metazoa, Chordata, Actinopteri, Clupeiformes, Clupeidae.